Molecule: long non-coding RNA, 746 nt
Organism: Populus trichocarpa (black cottonwood)
Lineage: Eukaryota; Viridiplantae; Streptophyta; Magnoliopsida; Malpighiales; Salicaceae
Exons: 2
Source: RefSeq, a predicted model, not a curated record
GCUAACAUAGCAUAGAUCAAGUGUCCCCUAGAGUUCCUCUGAGCACUUCAUUGGGAAUCUUCGAUUAAAUGAAAGAGUAUUAUCAUUCCUACUGAAGUGUUUGGGGGAACUCCUGGUGUCAUUUGAUGUUAAUAUUUCAUUAUGAAAAGCUCAGAAAGCAAGAAAUCUGGCUUCAUGUUACUACGAGAACUUAAGCAAGUAGAACUUGUACACUGAAACCCCACAAAAUGGUGCACAGGUUAGAGUUAACUCUUUCCAUUGUAUGUCUCAGAACAACAUCACUGGAGCAUUAAUGAAUUUGGAUUAAAUGCUUCCAACAGAGCUUAAAAGAACCUGAGCUCAGCCCAAGGAAAUCAACAAAAAGCUGAAAUCAAAUGCUCACUACAGGUCCUGAUUUCAGUUUCAAAUUCAAACGUAAAAUAACUUGUAUCCAGACCAAAUUACUAGUCAAGCCACGUAUCAUUAAAAGAUGUGAGUGUCGAGUUUCCAACGCAUCAAAUUGUGAGAGAUUCGGAUCUUCCUACCAAGAUUGUGGCCAUUUUAGUGACAAGUGUGCAGGCUGCUGAAAUGAGAACUCAGCAGAACCAAAACCCUUCUGCCAGCGUUUCUGCAACCAGCAAGACUGCCCUCUUUGUCAAGAAACAUCAUAGCAGCUUUGACAUAUUUUACUCUAAAUCACUUUCACAUGUAAAGCCUUUACAAGUCAAUAUUUGACAAGAUUUUUAAGAAUAUCUUCACUUUGCUAA